RNAcentral lists this long non-coding RNA (223 nucleotides) under Elaeis guineensis (African oil palm). RNAcentral's name for it is "long non-coding RNA (EGUI_LNC077112)". The record is from RNAcentral. Lineage: Eukaryota; Viridiplantae; Streptophyta; Magnoliopsida; Arecales; Arecaceae.
GCGGUUCUUCCAUACUCGGAUGUUUUAGAACUUCAAAGAGGACGCCUUUGGGCAAUUCGGCUGGAGCCGAUGUCGCCAGUUUGGAGAGAAGAUCGGCUCUGGUAUUCUCCGACCUUAGAAUCUGCCUGAUGUCGAAACUGCUAAAGGUAGGGGUGAACUCCUUCACUUUCUCAAGAUAUUUGGCCAUACUGUCCUCCCGUGCUUCAUAGCUCCCGCUGACUUG